GGGCACAUGGUGUAGUUGGUUAUCACGCCCGCUUAGCAUGUCAACUUGCUUGCGGGCGGUCCCCGGUUCAAUUCCGGGUGUGUCCA
Infundibulicybe gibba is the source of this 86-nucleotide non-coding RNA. Lineage: Eukaryota; Fungi; Basidiomycota; Agaricomycetes; Agaricales; Omphalinaceae. The record is from the annotation of a GenBank genome assembly.